GGGCCCGUAGCUCAAUCGGUAGAGCAAGCGACUUUUAAUCGAGAGGUUCCGGGUUCGAGUCCCGGCGGGCCCACCA
Molecule: transfer RNA, 76 nt
Filed under: Sphingosinicella sp. BN140058
Lineage: Bacteria; Pseudomonadati; Pseudomonadota; Alphaproteobacteria; Sphingomonadales; Sphingosinicellaceae
Also listed under: 5 other names
Description: tRNA-Lys
Rfam family: tRNA
About the family: Transfer RNA (tRNA) molecules are approximately 80 nucleotides in length. Their secondary structure includes four short double-helical elements and three loops (D, anti-codon, and T loops).
Source: RNAcentral